GUGAAAGAGGAAACUUGGAUACCACAUGUGGAAAUGACAAAAGUGGGAUAUGAACCUCGAUUAACUAGCACAUAAAGAGUGCUGUUCCCUGAAAAAAACUGUUGGAUUCAUUUAGAUUAGCCCCUUAGAGAGCACAACAUGUAUCCAUCUGUGUAACUUCCUUAUGAAACUACAGGUAUGUGCUGGAACUGUAUCUUCUACAAACAAGAGUACUAAUAGGACAAAAAUUGGAAGCAAUAUGCAGCCAUUUCCAACAAAUGAGCAGCCCACAUAUUAGAUGGCAACAUCAAGGAUAGAAAACUUUAGGAAGAUAAAGGCCUGGGAAGUAGAUUAGCUGUGGCUUUCGCCUGGAUGUGGCUUCAUGGAGUUACAUAUGCCACUGAGAAUUCCCGAGUGACAAAGUGAUCAAAUCCAGGCAAAGGAAAAAAGGAAAGGUGCAGCUUACCCCUCGAAGCAGUGGGCAACUGUCAGAACCCACUUCUUGGCAAUGAGGACACAGCCACAGAUAUGUCCACUGGGUUCACUCUGCAGAGAACACUGCCAUGGCCACCUUCCAGGGCGACUCGUCCGACCUCCAAGGAUCCUUUUGUUCAUUCGGGCAGCAGGGCGGCGCCCACAGUCUACCAAGGAGCAGAAGACACAGUUUAAGUUCUGAAUGCAGAGGCAAAGUGAGAUGGAAAGUAUAAAAGUCAGAAGCCACACAUACUGGUCAUGGUGUUUCUCCUGAUAACCUGCAUCCUGAGAAUUCCCUUCUGCAAUAGAACUACCUAUGGACCUCCUAAAUCCAGGUAAAGCCAAAAGAAGAUAAACUUUUAAAUUUUGUUAUUUAAUCAGGUCAUUCUUAAAUCAGGUAUUCAUAGGGCAACAAGAUACUUGCAUGGGGAGUGCAAUUAGGAGAGAGUGUGCACUGAUGCUGGAUAGGAAAAUCAUUGCAAGGAACACCAGCCUUUCAACUCAAAAGGCCCCCAGCUGCCCUGAGGAAG
Gorilla gorilla gorilla (western lowland gorilla) is the source of this 983-nucleotide long non-coding RNA. RefSeq lists it as uncharacterized. NCBI's taxonomy places the organism in Eukaryota, Metazoa, Chordata, Mammalia, Primates, Hominidae. The transcript has 4 exons. The record is from RefSeq and is a predicted model, not a curated record.